This 253-nucleotide ribosomal RNA is filed under the name uncultured bacterium. RNAcentral's name for it is "partial 16S ribosomal RNA". It matches the Rfam family "Bacterial small subunit ribosomal RNA", at positions 524 to 776 of the family's 1533-position model. The record is from RNAcentral.
UACGGAGGGUGCGAGCGUUGUCCGGAAUCAUUGGGCGUAAAGGGCGCGUAGGCGGCCCUGUAAGUCCGUUGUGAAAGUCAAAGGCUCAACCUUUGAAAGCCGAUGGAUACUGCAGGGCUAGAGUCCGGAAGAGGCGAGUGGAAUUCCUGGUGUAGCGGUGGAAUGCGCAGAUAUCAGGAGGAACACCAAUAGCGAAGGCAGCUCGCUGGGACGGUACUGACGCUAAGGCGCGAAAGCGUGGGGAGCGAACAGG